GAUGAACGCUGGCGGCGUGCCUAAUACAUGCAAGUCGAGCGAACGGACGAGAAGCUUGCUUCUCUGAUGUUAGCGACGGACGGGUGAGUAACACGUGGAUAACCUACCUAUAAGACUGGGAUAACUUCGGGAAACCGGAGCUAAUACCGGAUAAUAUUUUGAACCGCAUGGUUCAAAAGUGAAAGACGGUCUUGCUGUCACUUAUAGAUGGAUCCGCGCUGCAUUAGCUAGUUGGUAAGGUAACGGCUUACCAAGGCAACGAUGCAUAGCCGACCUGAGAGGGUGAUCGGCCACACUGGAACUGAGACACGGUCCAGACUCCUACGGGAGGCAGCAGUAGGGAAUCUUCCGCAAUGGUCGAAAGCCUGACGGAGCAACGCCGCGUGAGUGAUGAAGGUCUUCGGAUCGUAAAACUCUGUUAUUAGGGAAGAACAUAUGUGUAAGUAACUGUGCACAUCUUGACGGUACCUAAUCAGAAAGCCACGGCUAACUACGUG
RNAcentral lists this ribosomal RNA (497 nucleotides) under uncultured bacterium. Its description in RNAcentral is "partial 16S ribosomal RNA". It matches the Rfam family "Bacterial small subunit ribosomal RNA", at positions 28 to 507 of the family's 1533-position model. The record is from RNAcentral.